GGCUCCGUGGCGCAAUGGAUAGCGCAUUGGACUUCUAAUUCAAAGGUUGUGGGUUCGAGUCCCACCGAGAGUCG
Salvelinus sp. IW2-2015 is the source of this 74-nucleotide non-coding RNA. The record is from the annotation of a RefSeq genome assembly. NCBI's taxonomy places the organism in Eukaryota, Metazoa, Chordata, Actinopteri, Salmoniformes, Salmonidae.